This 510-nucleotide ribosomal RNA is filed under the name uncultured bacterium. Its description in RNAcentral is "partial 16S ribosomal RNA". It matches the Rfam family "Bacterial small subunit ribosomal RNA", at positions 28 to 507 of the family's 1533-position model. The record is from RNAcentral.
GACGAACGCUGGCGGCGUGCUUAACACAUGCAAGUCGAACGAAGAGCGAUGGAAGCUUGCUUCUAUCAAUCUUAGUGGCGAACGGGUGAGUAACGCGUAAUCAACCUGCCCUUCAGAGGGGGACAACAGUUGGAAACGACUGCUAAUACCGCAUACGAUCUAAUCUCGGCAUCGAGGAUAGAUGAAAGGUGGCCUCUACAUGUAAGCUAUCACUGAAGGAGGGGAUUGCGUCUGAUUAGCUAGUUGGAGGGGUAACGGCCCACCAAGGCGAUGAUCAGUAGCCGGUCUGAGAGGAUGAACGGCCACAGUGGGACUGAGACACGGCCCAGACUCCUACGGGAGGCAGCAGUGGGGAAUCUUCCGCAAUGGACGAAAGUCUGACGGAGCAACGCCGCGUGAGUGAUGACGGCCUUCGGGUUGUAAAGCUCUGUUAAUCGGGACGAAAGGCCUUCUUGCGAAUAGGGAGAAGGAUUGACGGUACCGGAAUAGAAAGCCACGGCUAACUACGUG